RNAcentral lists this transfer RNA (72 nucleotides) under Fukomys damarensis (Damara mole-rat). It matches the Rfam family "tRNA". Rfam says of the family: Transfer RNA (tRNA) molecules are approximately 80 nucleotides in length. Their secondary structure includes four short double-helical elements and three loops (D, anti-codon, and T loops). The record is from Rfam by way of RNAcentral. Lineage: Eukaryota; Metazoa; Chordata; Mammalia; Rodentia; Bathyergidae.
GAGGGUAUAGCUCAGUGACAGAGCACUUGCCUAGCAUGCAUGAAGCCCUGGGUUUCAUCCCUAGCAUUGUUU